This 497-nucleotide ribosomal RNA is filed under the name uncultured bacterium. Its description in RNAcentral is "partial 16S ribosomal RNA". It matches the Rfam family "Bacterial small subunit ribosomal RNA", at positions 28 to 507 of the family's 1533-position model. The record is from RNAcentral.
GAUGAACGCUGGCGGCGUGCCUAAUACAUGCAAGUCGAGCGAACAGACGAGGAGCUUGCUCCUCUGACGUUAGCGGCGGACGGGUGAGUAACACGUGGAUAACCUACCUAUAAGACUGGGAUAACUUCGGGAAACCGGAGCUAAUACCGGAUAACAUGUUGAACCGCAUGGUUCAACAGUGAAAGACGGUCUUGCCGUCACUUAUAGAUGGAUCCGCGCCGCAUUAGCUAGUUGGUAAGGUAACGGCUUACCAAGGCAACGAUGCGUAGCCGACCUGAGAGGGUGAUCGGCCACACUGGAACUGAGACACGGUCCAGACUCCUACGGGAGGCAGCAGUAGGGAAUCUUCCGCAAUGGGCGAAAGCCUGACGGAGCAACGCCGCGUGAGUGAAGAAGGUCUUCGGAUCGUAAAACUCUGUUAUUAGGGAAGAACAGAUGUGUAAGUAACUAUGCACGUCUUGACGGUACCUAAUCAGAAAGCCACGGCUAACUACGUG